AAUGAAAUUGGGAAUUACAGUAUAGUGUACAUUUCAUGGUUUGCUUCACUGGAAACUAUAAUUGCAUUUCUAUUUUUUUUUAAUAAAUACAGAGUGAAUUACUUCAAAAUGAUAUAUUAUUACUUCCUUACCACACACCGGGUCAUUGGGUUCUUGCGGUAAGAUGUUUUGUAUUGUACUUCUGGAUUAUGGGCAAUAAAUGUGGUAUUAAAUAAGCGAUUUGUAACACAACUAUAGUAGCAGUGAUAUAAUUUCCCGUGUUGCGGGUUUUCAAUGAGUUCAGUGCAUGCAAAGGAAAGUGGAAUGUGAAUGUUAAAAAUAAAAUGCUACUGUCAAGUUACGUUGUUAAUGUAACUUGGAAGAAUACACUCUGUAAUGAAUUGAUCAAUGAUUUCACAAUAUGCUUUUCUCUUGUGUAUUACUGAGACAUUACAAACGAGAAUAUGUUAAUUGCAUAAUGAUUUUUGAUAAAUCAGUAUAAAAUUUUUGAAAUAAUCACAUUACCAAUAUAAUUUGUGAAUAUAUUUACACUUACAGAUAGCCUUGAUGAAAAAAAGGAAUUGUUAAUAAUUGACCCCUUGUGUGAUGAGAUGAGAUGAGAUAUGAAAGAACAUGUCUGAGGAAUUGGAGAAACUUCAUCAAACGAUUAACUAGCAAAUCCUCAUCUGAUUGGAAGAGUAAAAUUGUUCAGCACCCAGACAAAGUGAUGGUCACAACUGCGGACCACUCAUCUUAAAGUUUGCAGAAACAUAUUUGCAGCACAAAGACAUCAGUAUGGUAGAAACAACACAAGAGGUUAAUACUGCAUUUAGAAGACAUAUAGCAAUUCUUCUAAUGAAGGAGGCAGGUAAUUACUUUCUACCAGGUACUG
Molecule: long non-coding RNA, 871 nt
Organism: Trachemys scripta elegans
Lineage: Eukaryota; Metazoa; Chordata; Testudines; Emydidae
Exons: 3
Source: RefSeq, a predicted model, not a curated record